AUGCUUACUUCGGCAGCACUUAUACUAAAAUUGGAACUAUACAGAGAAGAUUAGCAUGACCCCUGUGCAAGGAUGACAUGCAAAUUUGCAAAGCAUUCCAUAUUUUU
This 107-nucleotide small nuclear RNA is filed under the name Physeter macrocephalus (sperm whale). RNAcentral also lists the same sequence under 1 other name. Lineage: Eukaryota; Metazoa; Chordata; Mammalia; Artiodactyla; Physeteridae. The record is from RNAcentral.